RNAcentral lists this transfer RNA (67 nucleotides) under Trypaea australiensis. RNAcentral describes it as "tRNA-Met". The record is from RNAcentral. Lineage: Eukaryota; Metazoa; Arthropoda; Malacostraca; Decapoda; Callianassidae.
GAUAAGAUAAGCUAAACAUAAGCUAAUGGGUUCAUACCCCGGAAAUGGGAUUUUCUCCCUCUUUUCA